Molecule: small nuclear RNA, 104 nt
Organism: Heterocephalus glaber (naked mole-rat)
Lineage: Eukaryota; Metazoa; Chordata; Mammalia; Rodentia; Bathyergidae
Source: Ensembl
GUGCUUGCUUCGGCAGCACAUAUACUAAAACUGGAACGAUACAGAGAUUAGCAUGGCCCCUGUGCAAGGAUGACACGCAAAUUCGUGAAGCUUUCCAUACAAAA